UGUGAGGGACGGUGUGCGUUUGAAUGUUGAACGUGAGGAACCUAGUAAAAACAUAAAGAGCCUUGGAAGAGGGCCUGUGCCAAGGGACCCACCAAGAGGGGCUUCCAUCCCCACAGCCAACACCCAAUAGAUGAGGGAGGUCAGAAGAAAAGAGUUCCUAAUCCUAUAACAAAGGCUGAAUCAGGGGGACUAUGUUGCUGGAAUUUCACGUACUGAAAGGAAAGCUAUGAAGAAAAUUACAAGGCUUGGAAGAAUUAGCCCACCAUGAGGGACUCAGUCCUUCAGCCAAGCCUUGAAUCUGACUUGGACACUGAGAGCUCUUGAAUAGAUGAAGACAGUAUCUACUUUUUUUUCCUUGCCUUCCUUCCUUUUUCUUUUUUCUUUCCUUCCUUCUUUCCUUCCCCCCAUACUUCUUUUUAAAAUCUUUUUGUUUUAAUUUUUGUUUUAGUUUUCCCCAAUAUCUAGAAAGCUCUGACAGGGAAAGAUGCUGACUGGAGAAUACUUAGGCUACAAUUGACAAAAGGGCAAUGGUUUCCUAGGCUUCAGUCAGAGAACAAGUUCUUUCUAGCACUGGCUCUGGAGCACUGUCCUGAAGGGUCUAAUUAGUUUGCUUCUCUGACCUUGAUUGCUACCUUUUGAAGAAGGCUUAAAGCCUGUUGAGUCUCCUAAACUUGCCAAGCCCUGCUGCCUCAGUCUAGUCAGCAAUCUUGCCCUGCCCAGGCCUCUUGCUGUCUGACCACACUGCUUAGCUAACCCCAUUUGGGUCACACCCUAUUGCUUAUGGCUCCUUUGGAAAGGCCCAUCUACGAGCUACCUCCUUACAUAAAUGUAAAGACAUUAAACAUUCUUGAUGGAGUUAAAAACCAAGGAUAUAAGGAAUCCAGGGUGGAG
Long non-coding RNA from Eubalaena glacialis (North Atlantic right whale), 891 nucleotides. RefSeq lists it as uncharacterized. The record is from RefSeq and is a predicted model, not a curated record. The transcript has 3 exons. Lineage: Eukaryota; Metazoa; Chordata; Mammalia; Artiodactyla; Balaenidae.